Molecule: ribosomal RNA, 342 nt
Filed under: uncultured bacterium
Lineage: Bacteria
Description: bacterial SSU rRNA
Rfam family: Bacterial small subunit ribosomal RNA
Source: RNAcentral
CUGACUGCCGGUGACAAACCGGAGGAAGGUGGGGACGACGUCAAAUCAUCAUGCCCCUUAUGAUUUGGGCUACACACGUGCUACAAUGGACAGGUUACAAAGGGCAGCAACGCCGCGAGGCCAAGCGAAUCCCAUAAAACUGUUCUCAGUUCGGAUUGGAGUCUGCAACUCGACUCCAUGAAGCUGGAAUCGCUAGUAAUCGUAGAUCAGCAUGCUACGGUGAAUACGUUCCCGGGUCUUGUACACACCGCCCGUCACACCACGGAAGUCGAUAACACCUGAAGCCGGUGGGCCAACCAUUUAUGGAGGCAGCCGUCGAAGGUGGGAUGGAUGACUGGGGUG